GUGCUCACUUCAGCAGUACAUAUACUAAAAUUGAAAUGAUACACAGAUUAGCAUGGUCCCUGAACAAGGAUGACAGGCAAAUUCGUGAAGCAUUCCAUAUUAAA
Molecule: small nuclear RNA, 104 nt
Organism: Prionailurus viverrinus (fishing cat)
Lineage: Eukaryota; Metazoa; Chordata; Mammalia; Carnivora; Felidae
Source: RefSeq, a predicted model, not a curated record